Molecule: ribosomal RNA, 704 nt
Filed under: uncultured bacterium
Lineage: Bacteria
Description: bacterial SSU rRNA
Rfam family: Bacterial small subunit ribosomal RNA
Source: RNAcentral
CGAACGAGUUCUCGUUGAUGAUCGGUGCUUGCACCGAGAUUCAACAUGGAACGAGUGGCGGACGGGUGAGUAACACGUGGGUAACCUGCCCUUAAGUGGGGGAUAACAUUUGGAAACAGAUGCUAAUACCGCAUAGAUCCAAGAACCGCAUGGUUCUUGGCUGAAAGAUGGCGUAAGCUAUCGCUUUUGGAUGGACCCGCGGCGUAUUAGCUAGUUGGUGAGGUAAUGGCUCACCAAGGCGAUGAUACGUAGCCGAACUGAGAGGUUGAUCGGCCACAUUGGGACUGAGACACGGCCCAAACUCCUACGGGAGGCAGCAGUAGGGAAUCUUCCACAAUGGACGCAAGUCUGAUGGAGCAACGCCGCGUGAGUGAAGAAGGCUUUCGGGUCGUAAAACUCUGUUGUUGGAGAAGAAUGGUCGGCAGAGUAACUGUUGUCGGCGUGACGGUAUCCAACCAGAAAGCCACGGCUAACUACGUGCCAGCAGCCGCGGUAAUACGUAGGUGGCAAGCGUUAUCCGGAUUUAUUGGGCGUAAAGCGAGCGCAGGCGGUUUUUUAAGUCUGAUGUGAAAGCCCUCGGCUUAACCGAGGAAGCGCAUCGGAAACUGGGAAACUUGAGUGCAGAAGAGGACAGUGGAACUCCAUGUGUAGCGGUGAAAUGCGUAGAUAUAUGGAAGAACACCAGUGGCGAAGGCGGCUGUCUG